CUUUAUUCAAGGUGAUCACAGUAAGAGUCAAGGCUUAACAGUAGGGAACAGAUAUUGAACUCCACUCCACUGAAACAAAAGGCCAGAGAGUUUUCAAGUGUUGAGUGACCCAAAGAAAACAAUUGGUGGAUGGAAUUAUGAAGAAGAAUGAGGGGAACAUAGCAUAAUGGAAAAUGCUUGCACUUCAGCUCUUGUCAAGAUCACGGUCCUACCAUUUGUUGCCUCUGCAAUCCUGGGCAAGUUGCUUCACCCUUGUGUGUUUUGGCUGGCAUAGCUACAGUUAUUGAAAAAGUUGUAUGAAGAUCACCCACCAGGACUGUGAAUUUGUCCAUUAUUUCAAUAAUCUGAUACAAAUAUAAUAAUCCUGCUACUCCAUAAUGCUGCCAAAAUGACUUCUAAGAAGUAAAAUCUUUUUAUUUUAUUAUAGUGUUUUAUUGACAUCAAAGAUAUCAAUUGUAAGAUGUACUAUUAUUUUAUGUACUAUAAAGAAAGAAAAAUCUUGCUAAAUAAAAUCUUUCAUAAUACCAGAAUGAAAA
This is a long non-coding RNA of Canis lupus familiaris (dog), 536 nucleotides long. RefSeq lists it as uncharacterized. NCBI's taxonomy places the organism in Eukaryota, Metazoa, Chordata, Mammalia, Carnivora, Canidae. The record is from RefSeq and is a predicted model, not a curated record. The transcript is spliced from 3 exons.